AAUUCAUACAAUAAUUUACUUGAGCCAGAGCAGCCAAAAGAAGAAACUCUCAUAUCUCUAUUCUUUACAUCCAAAGCCAAAUAUCCACUCGAAGGCACACAUUUGUAUACAAGGACCAACUUCUCAACCAUCUAUAGAAAUAGUCCUUAAAAUGAGAAUUUUCAUUUUGUAUCAUAAGCUUUUCACAUGCACUUAGAGCCUGAGGUUGAGAUCAAUGCCAUCUCCUCUCGUUUCAAUCCUCUCAUUGUUUAAGCCAAAGUCUGUUUCCACCGUACCAAUUUGCUUACUUGGAAGUAAGAAGCUAUAGAAA
Molecule: unclassified non-coding RNA, 310 nt
Filed under: Hevea brasiliensis (rubber tree)
Lineage: Eukaryota; Viridiplantae; Streptophyta; Magnoliopsida; Malpighiales; Euphorbiaceae
Source: RNAcentral